AGGAAAAUUCCAGAAGGACAUUGAUUCAUUUCGAGCGAAUAGGAAUACCGAAGUUGAAGAUUAGUGUGGACGCCAGGACUGCAUCAAGUAAUGGAAGAUUGGUGCUCGCUUAUUAGUUAUCAUCAGACCAUUUGACCUUCCACUAUGUCAUGGACUCUUGUGGUAAUUAGAGAAUUUCUGUGUUUCUUUACCUAGGUACCAUAAUACGUUAUCUAUGUGAGAUACAUCUUCUCUGGUAGCGACAAAUCCCGGGGAGUUGGAAGACUGCCAAGAAACUGUUGGUUACACAGUUUUUGAGCUUGGAUUUGCUACCACCCUUUUAAUCGAUUUAUAGAGAUUCGAGCUGAUGGGUUCUUAGCUAGAGUAUCUUAGAAUAUGUUGUGUCACCUGGCCAUGUGAUUGGAGUGCACGUGAGAUUGUUUUGAGACCUUAACUAGUUUGUUGAACACCUGAACCAACUACCGAAUUUAAACAUUCA
Lolium rigidum is the source of this 478-nucleotide long non-coding RNA. RefSeq lists it as uncharacterized. The transcript is spliced from 2 exons. Lineage: Eukaryota; Viridiplantae; Streptophyta; Magnoliopsida; Poales; Poaceae. The record is from RefSeq and is a predicted model, not a curated record.